RNAcentral lists this ribosomal RNA (440 nucleotides) under uncultured bacterium. Its description in RNAcentral is "partial 16S ribosomal RNA". It matches the Rfam family "Bacterial small subunit ribosomal RNA", at positions 338 to 795 of the family's 1533-position model. The record is from RNAcentral.
CCUACGGGAGGCAGCAGUGGGGAAUAUUGCACAAUGGGGGAAACCCUGAUGCAGCGACGCCGCGUGAGUGAAGAAGUAAUUCGUUAUGUAAAGCUCGAUCAGCAGGGAAGAAAAUGACGGUACCUGAGUAAGAAGCCCCGGCUAACUACGUGCCAGCAGCCGCGGUAAUACGUAGGGGGCAAGCGUUAUCCGGAUUGACUGGGUGGAAAGGGAGCGUAGACGGCAGUGCAAGUCCGGAGUGAAAGGCGGGGGCUCAACCCCCGGACUGCUCUGGAAACUGUACGGCUGGAGUGCAGGAGAGGUAAGUGGAAUUCCUAGUGUAGCGGUGAAAUGCGUAGAUAUUAGGAGGAACACCAGUGGCGAAGGCGGCUUACUGGACUGUAACUGACGUUGAGGCUCGAAAGCGUGGGGAGCAAACAGGAUUAGAUACCCGAGUAGUC